GCUCAGCCGCUGGUUUUUAUUGUGACUGUCAGCAAAGGUGUGGUGUCCUGUUACGCCCUGUAGGGUCCUUGUAGAUCGGGUGUGUCUUCCUGCUGGCUGUGGGUGGGGUCGCCAGUCCCAGAAGACGUGGCCAGAGCUGGCAACUAAUGGAGCUGUCAGCCCGAUUCAGAGCACUCCUUGGAGCUCCCCAGAGGCAGGUGCCGAUGCCACAUCGAUGAGCCACGUUCCCCUGAUGCGCUCCUGACAUUUCCUGCCUGCCUUCCCUGGCCUGCCUGCCUGGGUCAGCGGUCACACUGAGUCACAGCCGCUCCCUGCAGGCUCUGGCCGCCCACUGCCCCGGGGCGCGGGGUGGGAGGAAGCUGGACCGAGUCAGUGCACUGGUAGGAACCAUGGUGUCCAAGAGAAGGAGGGAGCAGCCGCCGCCUCUGUCCCCCUGGGUCCUAGAGGAAGCUGCCUGUGCACUGCAGCCUGCUGCAUUUCCAAGCCAACCUGGCACGAGGCCCCUUGGCGCGCUGCCCUGGCUCUGGCUGCCCCAGACCCCAGACUUGAGUCCUUCCUGGAUCACACUGACCUCAGAGCCCCAGGCCCCAGGCCCCAUGUGGACCUGCUCACAGGCCUGAGGUUCGGCUCUCAGAUGCCCCAUUUCAGUUUGGAUCCAUCACUCUGCCUGGUUCUUCUGGGAUGUUACACCCUGCUCUGGACACCCCCGCACCCCACCCCCUUCUGCCAGCCAGCUGACCCGCGGCUCCCGAGGAAAUGGCAGCAGUCUCUUCUGGAGUGUGGAGCCGUGGCUGUGCUUCCUCUGGCACUGUGCUGGGCUGGCAGAUGACCCCUCUUCCCUGGGAUCACAGCUCCCUUUCCAAAGAUCGGUCCUUCCUCGGCCUCUGGCAGUGGGUUGCUAUGAGCCUUGCAUGCCUUUCCUCCAAGCCCUGCCCCGACCCCGGGCCCACAGUGCUCCACAGGGCGGAGGCCACCCCAGGCCACCUUUGUCCCUUCAUGCUCCUCCCUUCAGCUCUUCAGGACUGGGGGCCACCAGCCAGGCCCAGCUCCGGUCCCAGGAAUGCACUUCAAACUGCCAGCGCCCCCAGCAGCUGCAGCACUAGGUCAGCCAGCCAACUAGGGCACUGGCAGGAAGGUAGGGGUGGCAUGGAGACCACAUUUCCUCCCACUGCCUGAGCCCCUGAGCCCCGAUGGCAACACCCAGCCCAGAGCCCGUGAGCAGCAGGGCUGGUCUCAAGGUACGGACUAAUAGUCUCCAAGUGCACCGGAGUCCCCUUGAAGGCAGCGAGAGGAGGUGCCCAUGUGUUUGACUGACAAGGCAGGACGUUUUCCUGGCCAUCUCUCAGCCUGCCCCGGGCAGUGGAACCCACCUACUGCUGCUGUGAGAGGGUCGUGAGCCUGCCUGUGCUCCCUGGAAUCCAGCCUCCUGGACUGAGAUCCAGUCCCAGACUGAUGACAGCAGGAAUGCUCACUCCCUGUGUCAGAAACCCAACCUCCAGUCUCGGCGUCUCUCGUGACCCCAAUUGGCAGGUGAUAUCAGAGCACAGUGGCGCAGAAUCAGCACGCUCCCAAAUACCGAGAGGGUCUUCGUUCUGAAAAGUUUUCCAUGCAGAGCACUGGCUGAACACCCCAGGCUGAAUUUCCCCACACCAGGCCCUACUUGCCUUUUUACAGAGGUGCCUUGAACAUGGGCAAAGAUGGUGCUUUGCCCUGGAUCUCACCUCUGAAUGCUUGUUACCCAAUCUCCACUGAAGCCCACACACAGCUUCUCAAGACUCAGCGACUGUGUGCAAGCUUGGGGCAGCAUAAAUCCAAGUGAAGACCAGGCUCGUGGGGCAAAGUCUGCAGCGCAGGAGCUGACCCGACCAUGACCACACGCAGUCCUGUCUUAGAGGAUGCUCAGCUUCUUAACUGAAAGCAGUGGUUUUCAGCUGGGCUGCACAGCACACUCUGCAGGUUUGCUCCUGGGGAACUCGGAAAACUAUGCUGCCUGAACCACAGUCGGAGCAAUAAAGUCAGAAGCUCUUGGAGGGUAGCCUGGGACCUGGCAUUGUUUCCAGGGCUCCCGGGUGAUAUAAUGUGUGGCCUGAGCUGGGAGCCACUGCUUUGAAAUGCUGACUCUGAGGUGACUGGUCUUAUUAGUCAGGAGAGCUGGGUUAUCUUACAGUAACUAAUUAAUCCUGGUAUCUUUGUGGCUUAUCAUGACAAAGGUCGGUUUUUCAACCACACUGCGUGUCCAGUAAGGGUUAGUGGGAGGCUCUGCCCUAUGCAAGGAGCGAGCUAAUGGAAGCAUCCUUAUCUCGUGAGGAUCCGUUUCCUUGGUUGCUAUGGCAGGGAAGACGGCUGGAAGGUUACUUCUAUGUUUUGGGCUGGAGGUAGCACAUGUCACUUCCUCUUGAAGCCCAUUGGCUAGAGCUGGUCACAAGGCCUCACCCAGCAGCCAGGAACCUGGGGGAGGGGCCAGCGAGCUGGGGGAGUGUUUGACGAGAGCAGCUUAUUGGUGGUUUUUCUUUUUCACAGCCCACUCCCCAACACUGACUUGGUUCUUGCUUUACUGAAGGAUCAUUCUGGAAGUGUUGCCAGACGGAAGUAAACAGGCAGCCCUAAAACAGUGGUCAAGUUCAAAUCUCCAUCACGUCGGGGUAGAGACCUGCAUGCCAUCUGGGGAAUCGUUCACAGGUCCCACUGAAGCUGAACAGAAAAUAGUAUUUUUACUCUGGUCCCUCAUGUGUACAGUCAAGAAUUUCAGGACUUUCCACAAAUCAAUCAUCUCUUGCAGCUGCAGGACACUGUUUAAGUCCUGCAGCUUUGCAGGGGAUAUUGACACUUCGUAGGACCAAUUCCCUCUGCCCGCUUUUCUAGUUCAGAGUUAUCUUUUUUUUUCCCCCAUGCAUUUAUUGUUUCAGAAAAAUUUUAAAUAAAAAGCUGUCAUACAGAGAAUACAGACUUGUGGUUACCAGGGGGGUGGAGGGUGGGAAGGGAUAGACUGGGAUUUCAAAAUUGCAGAAUAGACUACACUGUAUAGCACAGGGAAAUAUACACAAAAUGUUAUGAUAACUCACAGAGAAAAAAAUGUGACAAUGAGUGUGUAUAUGUCCAUGAAUAACUGAAAAAUUGUGCUGAACACUGGAAUU
Camelus dromedarius (Arabian camel) is the source of this 3134-nucleotide long non-coding RNA. RefSeq lists it as uncharacterized. The record is from RefSeq and is a predicted model, not a curated record. The transcript is spliced from 4 exons. Lineage: Eukaryota; Metazoa; Chordata; Mammalia; Artiodactyla; Camelidae.